RNAcentral lists this ribosomal RNA (495 nucleotides) under uncultured bacterium. RNAcentral's name for it is "partial 16S ribosomal RNA". It matches the Rfam family "Bacterial small subunit ribosomal RNA", at positions 28 to 507 of the family's 1533-position model. The record is from RNAcentral.
GACGAACGCUGGCGGCGGGCCUAAUACAUGCAAGUAGAGCGCUGAAGGCGGAGCUUGCUUCUCUGGAUGAGUUGCGAACGGGUGAGUAACGCGUAGGUAACCUGCCUGGUAGCGGGGGAUAACUAUUGGAAGCGAUAGCUAAUACCGCAUAAGAGUAGAUGUUGCAUGACAUUUGCUUAAAAGGUGCAAUUGCAUCACUACCAGAUGGAUCUGAGUUGUAUUAGCUAGUGGGUGGGGGAACGGCUCACCAAGGCGACGAUACAUAGCCGACCAGCGAGGGUGCGCGGCAUAACUGGGAUGGGGACACGACCCACAACCCUAGGGGAGGCAGACGUAGCGGACUUUCACGAAUGGCAGGAAGUCUGACCGAGAGACGCUGCGUGAGUGCAGAAGGUUGUCGGGUCGUGAAGCUCAUUUGUGCGAGAAGAAUGAGUGUGAGAGUGAAAAGUUCACACUAUGACGGUAUCUUAACAGAAAGCGACGGCUAACUACGUG